AUUGAACGCUGGCGGCAUGCUUUACACAUGCCAGUCGAACGGCAGCGCGGGCUUCGGCCUGGCGGCGAGUGGCGAACGGGUGAGUAAUGCAUCGGAACGUGCCCAGUAGUGGGGGAUAGCCCGGCGAAAGCCGGAUUAAUACCGCAUACGACCUGAGGGUGAAAGCGGGGGACCGAAAGGCCUCGCGCUAUUGGAGCGGCCGAUGUCGGAUUAGCUAGUUGGUGGGGUAAAGGCUUACCAAGGCGACGAUCCGUAGCUGGUCUGAGAGGAAGACCAGCCACACUGGGACUGAGACACGGCCCAGACUCCUACGGGAGGCAGCAGUGGGGAAUUUUGGACAAUGGGGGCAACCCUGAUCCAGCCAUGCCGCGUGCGGGAAGAAGGCCUUCGGGUUGUAAACCGCUUUUGUUCGGGAAGAAAUCCUCUGGGCUAAUACCCCGGGGGGAUGACGGUACCGGAAGAAUAAGCACCGGCUAACUACGUG
RNAcentral lists this ribosomal RNA (484 nucleotides) under uncultured bacterium. RNAcentral describes it as "partial 16S ribosomal RNA". It matches the Rfam family "Bacterial small subunit ribosomal RNA", at positions 28 to 507 of the family's 1533-position model. The record is from RNAcentral.